RNAcentral lists this ribosomal RNA (253 nucleotides) under uncultured bacterium. RNAcentral describes it as "partial 16S ribosomal RNA". It matches the Rfam family "Bacterial small subunit ribosomal RNA", at positions 524 to 776 of the family's 1533-position model. The record is from RNAcentral.
UACGGAGGGUGCAAGCGUUAUCCGGAAUCACUGGGUUUAAAGGGUGCGUAGGCGGUUCUAUAAGUCUGUAUUGAAAUCUCAUCGCUUAACGAUGGAACCGGUAUGGAUACUGUAGGACUUGAAUCAAAAUGAGGUAAGCGGAAUGGGACAUGUAGCGGUGAAAUGCUUAGAUAUGUCCUAGAACACCAAUUGCGAAGGCAGCUUACUAGACUUGUAUUGACGCUGAGGCACGAAAGCGUGGGGAUCAAACAGG